AUUGAACGCUGGUGGCAUGCCUUACACAUGCAAGUCGAACGGCAGCACGGGAGCAAUCCUGGUGGCGAGUGGCGAACGGGUGAGUAAAGUAUCGGAACGUGCCCAGUCGUGGGGGAUAACGUAGCGAAAGUUACGCUAAUACUGCAUACGAUCUAUGGAUGAAAGCGGGGGAUCGCAAGACCUCGCGCGAUUGGAGCGGCCGAGAUCAGAUUAGGUAGUUGGUGGGGUAAAGGCUCACCAAGCCGACGAUCUGUAGCUGGUCUGAGAGGACGACCGGCCAGACGGGGACUGAGACACGGACCAGACUCCUACGGGAGGCAGCAGUGGUGAAUUGUGGACACGGGGCGAAAGCCUGGUCCAGCCAUGCCGCGUGCAGGAUGAAUGCCUUCGGGUUGUAAGCUGCUUUUGUACGGGACGAAAAGGUUUCGCCUAAUAAGCUGAACUCAUGACGGUACCGUAAGAAUAAGCACCGGCUAACUACGUGCCAGCAGCCGCCGUAA
This 500-nucleotide ribosomal RNA is filed under the name uncultured bacterium. RNAcentral's name for it is "partial 16S ribosomal RNA". It matches the Rfam family "Bacterial small subunit ribosomal RNA", at positions 30 to 523 of the family's 1533-position model. The record is from RNAcentral.